CCUACGGGAGGCAGCAGUGAGGAAUAUUGGUCAAUGGCCGGAAGGCUGAACCAGCCAAGUCGCGUGAGGGACGACUGCUCUAUGGGUUGUAAACCUCUUUUAUAGGGGAGGAAAAGAUGCUACGUGUAGCAUGAUGCCUGUACCUGUAGAAUAAGGAUCGGCUAACUACGUGCCAGCUGCGGCGGUAAUACGGAGGAUGCGAGCGUUAUCCGGAUUUAUGGGGUUUAAAGGGUCCGUAGGCGGUUUGUUAAGUUAGUGGUAAAACGUCGGUGCUUCACAUUGAUUUGCCAUUAAUACUGUAAGACUCGAGUGCGGACGAGGUAGGCGGAAUACGUUAAGUAGCGGUGAAAUGAUUAGAUAUAACUUAGAACACUGAUAGCGAAGGCAGCUUACCGGACUGCGACUGACGCUGAAGCACGAGAGCGUGGGGAGCGAACAGGAUUAGAUACCCGUGUAGUC
This 459-nucleotide ribosomal RNA is filed under the name uncultured bacterium. RNAcentral describes it as "partial 16S ribosomal RNA". It matches the Rfam family "Bacterial small subunit ribosomal RNA", at positions 338 to 795 of the family's 1533-position model. The record is from RNAcentral.